UACGAAGGGGGCUAGCGUUGUUCGGAAUUACUGGGCGUAAAGCGCACGUAGGCGGACUAUUAAGUCAGGGGUGAAAUCCCCAGGCUCAACCUGGGAACUGCGUCUGAUACUGGUUGGCUUGAAUCCGGGAGAGGGAUGCAGAAUUCCAGGUGUAGCGGUGAAAUGCGUAGAUAUCUGGAGGAAUACCGGUGGCGAAGGCGGCAUCCUGGACCGGCAUUGACGCUGAGGAGCGAAAGCUAGGGGAGCAAACGGG
RNAcentral lists this ribosomal RNA (253 nucleotides) under uncultured bacterium. RNAcentral's name for it is "partial 16S ribosomal RNA". It matches the Rfam family "Bacterial small subunit ribosomal RNA", at positions 524 to 776 of the family's 1533-position model. The record is from RNAcentral.